RNA transcript from Olea europaea var. sylvestris, 1840 nucleotides. It is a transcript of the gene named D-aminoacyl-tRNA deacylase, with no coding region annotated. Lineage: Eukaryota; Viridiplantae; Streptophyta; Magnoliopsida; Lamiales; Oleaceae. The transcript is spliced from 8 exons. The record is from RefSeq and is a predicted model, not a curated record.
UGGAAAGGCAGUUACUUUACCAUGUCAUCAAAUUUAGGGUUUAUCCCAUUCCAAUACCAGGGAUUGUAUUUCCACAAACCCUUACAACUCCACAAAUUCCCCCCGAUCCAUUCUGCUAUCGAUCGCCAUAAGCGACGGAAUCGUGUUGGCUUGGGAAGAAGGAAGCUUCUAAUCAAGUCAAUGAAAGCCGUAAUACAGCGUGUGGCCUCUGCCAGUGUUGAGGUGGAAGGGUGCACGGUGUCGGCGAUUGGACCGGGACUGUUGGUCCUCGUUGGGCUUCAUGAAUCGGACGUGGAAUCGGAUGCCGAGUACAUAUGUCGCAAAGUGUUGAACAUGAGAUUGUAUCCCAAUGAGAAAUCUGGGAAAACUUGGGACCAAAAUGUAAUGCAAAGAAAUUAUGAAGUUUUAUUAGUAAGUCAGUUCACAUUGUAUGGCGUUUUGAAAGGCAACAAACCUGAUUUUCAUGUGGCAAUGCCCCCCGAGAAAGCAAAGCUUUUUUAUGCUUCUUUAGUUGAAAAAUUUCGUAAAGCUUACAACAUGGAUGCAGUUAAAGGUGAUAAUCACUGGCGGACCUACAAAGGAUUUUUAUUUUUUUUUAAAUUAUAAAAUCGUAAAUGGAGUAAUGAAAAAACCCUUCCGGUUUCCAAUUGAAAGAAUACCAAACCGUCUCAACUCCCAAAAUCCAAAUUCGAAUCCAAAGAAACCUAAUCCAAAUUGAAAUUCAAUGCAAGAAACCAUCCCACUCCCAUUUCAAUCCCAACUCCCAGCUCGGCGGCUCUCAAUUCCGAACUUUGAAGCAAAACCCAACAAUUUGAUCCACCCCUGCCGACAGUUCCUGACCCGACUCCCUCUGCCGGUGAUUCAACCACCUUAAACGGCAAAACAAGACAGCAAUACCGUGCUCCACUAACUUCAAAUGUCUGUGUUUGUCACUGGUGAUAAUUGGAUUCUACAACAUAUUGAGGACUUAUGGUGUAUUUGGAGCAAUGAUGAAAGUUAACUUGGUUAAUGAUGGUCCAGUGACAAUGCAGCUCGACUCGGCACAGUCAUCCAGGUGAGUGUGGACCAUUCAUAAUGAACUCAAGGGCUGCCGUGCCCAGCUGUGGGCCGGUCACCUGUAAAGAUAGUCUGCACACGCCCCUGGAGUGUCUAGGCCCAUGGCCCAUGCAGGCCUCUAUAUAGAGACUGAAGUUGAGGUCUCUGCAAAAGGUUGCAGAGAGCCGUUCUUUGUUUCUUAGAAAACUUAACCCAAAGUCCAAAACUAACAAAUGAUGGGCCCAGUGGCUGGCCUGGUUCAGCACAUCCCAGGCGUGGAAAAGCAUGACCCAGCCCCCGCAGGCCGUGCCUGCAGGCUGAACCAGGCCUCACGAUGGUCUGUUGUGCUGAGUACAGCUCUAUCCACACUAAAAUGUUUGACAGCCCACACGUCUUCAUGUAAUCAAAACUUGUAUAUGUACCGGUAAAUAGUAAUCACUGUCAACAAAUUUUUUCAGACUACCAAAAAUUGUGACCUUCACAUAGUAAGUGCCUAUGUAUUUAUGAUUACUUCAGGAACACCAGCGGCGCAGUUGAAGCACCAUAACUUUGUGGUGAUUAUUAAGCAAUGGACAAACAAAUGGAUGUCUGGUUGACUUGAAACAAGAACUUAGGGGAAGCCAAGAAAGAUGUGAACCCGAGAAGAGCAGUAAGAUUAGAACUUGAUUCAAUGUGAAAUUAUAUAUGGUAGUUUCUCAUAUUCCUAUUUGAGUUAAGAAUUAACAUGAAUAAUUGUGUACUUUUUUCCCUCUUGAAAUCUCGUGUAAAAAUCAUAUCCUUGUGACACGUAUGGCUUGUUGGACUA